This 604-nucleotide unclassified non-coding RNA is filed under the name Hevea brasiliensis (rubber tree). The record is from RNAcentral. Lineage: Eukaryota; Viridiplantae; Streptophyta; Magnoliopsida; Malpighiales; Euphorbiaceae.
UGAGUCAGAUUCAGAUGUUGCAGCCUUCUCAUUCACAGCAUAAUCUGAUACAAGGCUUUUCUGAAAACCACUUAAUAUCUCAGGCGCAGAUGCUUCAGCAGCAAUUACAGCGCCGUCAAAACUUCAAUGAUCAACAGCAAUUGCUGCAGCCACAGCUUUAGCAGCACCAAGAAGUGAACUCGCAGUUUCAACAUCAAUAGCAAACUAAGACCAUAUCUGGUCUCUCUCAGAUGGCUUCAGCCACACAGCCCCAUCUUUCUCAUUUGCAAGUCCUAAGUUCGACUGGUUCCCCGCAAACCUUUUCUGAUAUACUGGGUAACCAUGUCAAUGCAUCUAGUAAUUCUAAUAUGCAAAGUCUGUUGAGUUCAUUUUCCCGUGAUGGAGCAUCUGCUGUCCUAAACAUGCAUGAAAUUCACCUUCUAGUAUCUUCAUCCUCAUCAUCUAAGCGAAUUGCUCUAGAAUCUCAGCUCCCUUCUCGGGUUACUCCAUUUGUGGUGUCCUAGCCUGAGGAUGUGAUAGCGCACAAUACAAAGGUCUCAGAUCUUUCCUCUUUACUGCCACCUUUUCCUAGUAGAGAAUCGUUUUCUGAUUAUAGAGGAGUAGA